AGUUGCCGAGUUCUUGGAGCCCUUGCCGGCGACGUCACACCCCGUGAUCACCUUAUAAGGAGAACCCUGGGAGCAGAGAGGGAUUCCUAGAGCUAUGACGUCAUCGGAGAGGAUCCGUGGAACAUAUUUUGUGGCCAAGUAUAAGACUUGUUCUAAAGUUUGCGGAACAGACAUACGGAUGUGAAAAGUACAGGGAUCAUCCAAAUGCACAUGUUGCUCUUUCUUUUCUGAACCCUGCAUUGUGCCUAAACAGCAUUUUGGGACUACAUAUGGGCUGUUACUGUACUCAUGAGAAAAUGGGUAACAAAUUAUGUGGUCCUUUUUCUCCAUUUUCAAGAAUCUGGGACUAAAGUAACAUUUUAUUGGAAGAAAUGUACAUUUUAAUUUUCACAGAUAAGUAUUUCUAAUAAACACUUGUGGGGUCAAAAUGAUCAAUAAACUGCUCAAUAAAUUCCUUCAGGGGUGUAGCUUCCAAAAUGAGGGUGGGGGCGUUCCACUAUAGGGGUACCUCAGGGUCUCUUCAAAUGUGACAUGGCACCUAAAAACCAUUCCAUUAAAAUAUGACCUCCAAAAACCAUAUGGCGCUCCUUUCCUUGUGAGCCCUGCAAUGUGCCCAUACAGCAGUUUAGGACCACAUGUGGGAUGUGUCUGUACACUGUAGAAUCAGGUUAACAAAUAUUGAGGUUUGUUUUGCUGUUAAACCUUUCUAUAUUAGUGACAAAUAGAUAAAAAAAUAAAAAUAAAAAAAAGUUACAUCAGG
Molecule: long non-coding RNA, 760 nt
Organism: Bufo gargarizans (Asiatic toad)
Lineage: Eukaryota; Metazoa; Chordata; Amphibia; Anura; Bufonidae
Exons: 2
Source: RefSeq, a predicted model, not a curated record